RNAcentral lists this transfer-messenger RNA (341 nucleotides) under uncultured Sphingomonas sp. Its description in RNAcentral is "Alphaproteobacteria transfer-messenger RNA". It matches the Rfam family "Alphaproteobacteria transfer-messenger RNA". Rfam says of the family: Bacterial tmRNA, also known as 10Sa RNA or SsrA, is named for its dual tRNA and mRNA-like properties. Its role is to liberate the mRNA from a stalled ribosome. Lineage: Bacteria; Pseudomonadati; Pseudomonadota; Alphaproteobacteria; Sphingomonadales; Sphingomonadaceae. The record is from RNAcentral.
AUCCCUAUAUCGCAUCCGUCGGGUUUACCCGACUAUGGCGAUAAACUGCGGCGUAUAAUAGACGCAGCGGACCCGGGGGCAGUACCCGGCGGCUCCACCAUCGCAGCUGAGGCAGAAGGUCCGUUACGGCGGAGUUUCGGUCGCCAGCGUCGCUGAUGGGGCCGAACCAGGAUCGACGUGUGUUGAAAAGCGCUGUUUUCGUUCGGAAUGGGACCACCGUGACGGCCCAUAUAGACAAGUGCCAACGAUAACGAGGCUCUUGCGAUUGCCGCGUAAUCCGAACCUAACGGUUUAGAUUACAUCGGACAAAAGCGCGGUUGGGCUGCACCGGGCAACAGAAG